GGCCUUAUACAUGCAAGUCGACGCGCAGCGAGAGGUGCUUGCACCUUUCAAGCGAGUGGCGAACGGGUGAGUAACACGUGGAUAACCUGCCUCAAGGCUGGGGAUAACAUUUGGAAACAGAUGCUAAUACCGAAUAAAACUUAGUAUCGCAUGAUAUCAAGUUAAAAGGCGCUACGGCGUCACCUAGAGAUGGAUCCGCGGUGCAUUAGUUAGUUGGUGGGGUAAAGGCUUACCAAGACAAUGAUGCAUAGCCGAGUUGAGAGACUGAUCGGCCACAUUGGGACUGAGACACGGCCCAAACUCCUACGGGAGGCUGCAGUAGGGAAUCUUCCACAAUGGGCGCAAGCCUGAUGGAGCAACGCCGCGUGUGUGAUGAAGGCUUUCGGGUCGUAAAGCACUGUUGUAUGGGAAGAAAUGCUAAAAUAGGGAAUGAUUUUAGUUUGACGGUACCAUACCAGAAAGGGACGGCUAAAUACGUGCCAGCAGCCGCGGUAAUACGUAUGUCCCGAGCGUUAUCCGGAUUUAUUGGGCGUAAAGCGAGCGCAGACGGUUGAUUAAGUCUGAUGUGAAAGCCCGGAGCUCAACUCCGGAAUGGCAUUGGAAACUGGUUAACUUGAGUGUUGUAGAGGUAAGUGGAACUCCAUGUGUAGCGGUGGAAUGCGUAGAUAUAUGGAAGAACACCAGUGGCGAAGGCGGCUUACUGGACAACAACUGACGUUGAGGCUCGAAAGUGUGGGUAGCAAACAGGAUUAGAUACCCUGGUAGUCCACACCGUAAACGAUGAAUACUAGGUGUUAGGAGGUUUCCGCCUCUUAGUGCCGAAGCUAACGCAUUAAGUAUUCCGCCUGGGGAGUACGACCGCAAGGUUGAAACUCAAAGGAAUUGACGGGGACCCGCACAAGCGGUGGAGCAUGUGGUUUAAUUCGAAGCAACGCGAAGAACCUUACCAGGUCUUGACAUCCUUUGAAGCUUUUAGAGAUAGAAGUGUUCUCUUCGGAGACAAAGUGACAGGUGGUGCAUGGUCGUCGUCAGCUCGUGUCGUGAGAUGUUGGGUUAAGUCCCGCAACGAGCGCAACCCUUAUUGUUAGUUGCCAGCAUUCAGUUGGGCACUCUAGCGAGACUGCCGGUGACAAACCGGAGGAAGGCGGGGACGACGUCAGAUCAUCAUGCCCCUUAUGACCUGGGCUACACACGUGCUACAAUGGCGUAUACAACGAGUUGCCAACCUGCGAAGGUGAGCUAAUCUCUUAAAGUACGUCUCAGUUCGGACUGCAGUCUGCAACUCGACUGCACGAAGUCGGAAUCGCUAGUAAUCGCGGAUCAGCACGCCGCGGUGAAUACGUUCCCGGGUCUUGUACACACCGCCCGUCACACCAUGGGAGUUUGUAAUGCCCAAAGCCGGUGGCCUAACCUUCGGGAGGGAGCCGUCUAAGGCAG
RNAcentral lists this ribosomal RNA (1437 nucleotides) under Leuconostoc citreum. Its description in RNAcentral is "bacterial SSU rRNA". It matches the Rfam family "Bacterial small subunit ribosomal RNA". The record is from RNAcentral. Lineage: Bacteria; Bacillati; Bacillota; Bacilli; Lactobacillales; Lactobacillaceae.